This 464-nucleotide ribosomal RNA is filed under the name Vreelandella stevensii. RNAcentral describes it as "partial 16S ribosomal RNA". It matches the Rfam family "Bacterial small subunit ribosomal RNA", at positions 338 to 795 of the family's 1533-position model. Lineage: Bacteria; Pseudomonadati; Pseudomonadota; Gammaproteobacteria; Oceanospirillales; Halomonadaceae. The record is from RNAcentral.
CCUACGGAGGCAGCAGUGGGGAAUAUUGGACAAUGGGGGCAACCCUGAUCCAGCCAUGCCGCGUGUGUGAAGAAGGCCCUCGGGUUGUAAAGCACUUUCAGUGAGGAAGAACGCCUGGUGGUUAAUACCCAUCAGGAAAGACAUCACUCACAGAAGAAGCACCGGCUAACUCCGUGCCAGCAGCCGCGGUAAUACGGAGGGUGCGAGCGUUAAUCGGAAUUACUGGGCGUAAAGCGCGCGUAGGUGGCUUGAUAAGCCGGUUGUGAAAGCCCCGGGCUCAACCUGGGAACGGCAUCCGGAACUGUCAAGCUAGAGUGCAGGAGAGGAAGGUAGAAUUCCCGGUGUAGCGGUGAAAUGCGUAGAGAUCGGGAGGAAUACCAGUGGCGAAGGCGGCCUUCUGGACUGACACUGACACUGAGGUGCGAAAGCGUGGGUAGCAAACAGGAUUAGAUACCCCUGUAGUC